CCUGAACCCCUGUUAGAGCCUACACCCCCAGAACCCCUGUUAGAGCCUACACCACCAGAACCCCUGUUAGAGCCUGAACCCCUGUUAGAGCCUGAACCCCUGUUAGAGCCUACACCACCAGAACCCCUGUUAGAGUCUACACCACCAGAACCCCUGUUAGAGCCUGAACCCCUGUUAGAGCCUGAACCCCUGUUAGAGCCUGAACCCCUGUUAGAGCCUACACCACCAGAACCCCUGUUAGAGCCUACACCCCCAGAACCCCUGUUAGAGCCUCAACCCCGGUUAGAGCCGACACUAGAGCCCGCAAUAGAGCAUCGCUCAGAGUCCUCAUCAGAGCCUCAGUCAGAGCAGGUGUCCGAGGGGGAUCUGCCACUAGAGGGCAGUGCCAGACAGGGUGACAGAGAAGGUGAGAGACAGGGUGACAGACAGGGUCACAGAGAAGGUGAGAGACAGGGUGCCAGACAUGGUGACAGAGAAGGUGACAGACAGGGUGACAGACAGGGUGUCGGACAGGGUGGCAGAGAAGGUGAGAGACAGGGUGACAGACAGGGUGACAGAGAAGGCGAGAGACAGGGUGCCAGACAGGGUAAGCCCAUAGAGGCUGGUGACUCUGGCCUCAGAGCUGAGACUAAGGAGGGUGUGUUAGGGUCAGAGGUAACAGAAGGGAUAGUGUCUGUACCUGCAGACCUCCAGAAAUACCACCAGAUUGACCGCCAGUCAGACAGUGAGCACCCUCCAGAGACCAGGGAUGGGACUACCCCCAUGGACGGAGACUUCCCGCCCCCAGAAACAGGUUCCAACUCUGGGGGAGCGUCUGGUGGAGCAGGUGGAGAGAUGGAGGGUGGAGAGGAGGGUGGAGAGGGUGUAGCGAUGGAGAUAACAGAGGUCCUACGGAGACGGAGUGAGGCCCCCUUGGUUCUAGGGGAACACAGCGGAGACCACUCUGACAGGACAGUGGAUCAGGGAUCCUGUGGCACCAGGACAGAGGAGGGGUCAGAACACUCAGACAGUCAACCUGCUACAGACCAAGCCCUCCACCUCGACCCCUCUGUAACCCUCGACCCCUCUGUAACCCUAACCCUGACCCUCGACCCCUCUGUGACGUGGUCAGACUGUGGAGAUGGAGAUGAUGUCACUGCUGUAGUGGUGUCCACAUAUACAGGGGAUGUCCCACCUAACAGUCCAGCGUCACCUGAGAACCUACCUGAAAACCUACUUGAGAACGCACCUGAGAACCUACCUGGGAUCCAACCUGGGAUCCUACCUGGGAACCUACCUGAGAACGUACCUGGGAUCCUGCCUGGGAUCCUGCCUGGGAACCCGCCUGAGAUCCCGCCUGGGAACCCACCUGAGAACCUACCUGGGAACCUACCUGGGAACCUGCCUGGGAUCCUACCUGGGAACCUACCUGAGAUACUACCUGAGAACCUAACAGAUGCUGUCUGUUCUGCAAGUCACCUUACUGUCCCUGUUGAAGACCUGGAUGUUCCAGCAGCAGAGGAAACGGCAGAUUGUCAGGAAGACCAAUCAACAGAGAAUAUAUCUACGAUCCACAAAGAGGAGGAGGCUGUCUAUCCUGAACCCUGUUGUAUUCCCGACACACAGACACGCAGCAGCACUGACCACAGACACAGCAACAACCAAACAGACUGUCAGAGUGUGAGCAGUUUCAGCUCUACUCUCCUGAAAGACUCAGACAGCGACACCGAGAGCUUCUUCAGCACAGGAGAGGACAGUGUUUUCAGCAAGGGGGACGAUACGAUGAUGGGGGACAGCACCAGUGAGGUGUCUGUAUCCUGUUCCUCCACAGACGACACGGCCAGUGUGGGUCCGACCAGCUCCAGCCCAGAGAGCUGUGUGGAGGGGGGCCCAGGGGACCAGGGGGACA
RNAcentral lists this long non-coding RNA (1888 nucleotides) under Salmo salar (Atlantic salmon). RNAcentral describes it as "lncRNA (ENSSSAG00000118878.1)". The record is from RNAcentral. Lineage: Eukaryota; Metazoa; Chordata; Actinopteri; Salmoniformes; Salmonidae.